UUGUCAAAGCAGAAACACUGCUUUGCACUUUAUUUUUGCACAGCGGCGCUCCCACUGGGAGGAACCACCGCAGCUCGCCCGGGAGUGGAGGGACCGCAGCACACAGCGGGCGGUGCGGGAGUAGAUAUCAAUCGCACCCGACCUCAGACGGAACCAUCUUUUUAUACCAAGAUCGGCUUUCCUGCUCAUGUGUUUUUAUCCCAGUUAUGAUUUUUUUAACAUAGCAGUUAAUAUGGCGCAUUUUAGAUUUGGUUUAAGAAUCAGCAAAUCUGUUGGUGGAAGGAAUACAUAUAUUGGAAAUGAGAAACAACAGCAGCCCAAGCACUGGGCCUUGUGGAACACCACAAUUCUAUUUAUAUUAAAAUGAUCGAAGUUGCUUGCUUCUGCCAGAGUAAAAUAUCGUGUUGUAUCUUGGUUGAGUUAAAAACUAUAUCUACUCAAUACAGUUCACAGAUCCGAACAAUUUGAUGCAUCAACCUUCACCAAUCACUAUUUGGCUCCAGUCAUCUUUGCAUCAACAAUAAGCAUCUUCUCUCUCCCUUAUAGAAUAGUCUCCCCACAGAAAGAUGCUGCCAUCACUAUGUUUCACCAUUGUGAUUGUGCACGUAGAGUUACGCACAAAUCCAGUACAUGUAGGUCAUAAAAUAAAAAUCUGGUCUCUGGCUGGAGAAGUGUUUUCCACA
Long non-coding RNA from Poecilia latipinna (sailfin molly), 683 nucleotides. RefSeq lists it as uncharacterized. The transcript has 2 exons. The record is from RefSeq and is a predicted model, not a curated record. NCBI's taxonomy places the organism in Eukaryota, Metazoa, Chordata, Actinopteri, Cyprinodontiformes, Poeciliidae.